This is a non-coding RNA of Oreochromis niloticus (Nile tilapia), 684 nucleotides long. NCBI's taxonomy places the organism in Eukaryota, Metazoa, Chordata, Actinopteri, Cichliformes, Cichlidae. The record is from the annotation of a RefSeq genome assembly.
AACAAAAGGAAAUAAGAAAAAGAAAAUAGAUCGAGUAGAGUAACACACAGAGGUAAAGACACAAAUAACCUCACUGACUGACCUGAAACUGUUUCUGACUCCACCCACUGAUGCUGAACUCAACCAAUGAGAUGAUUUCUGUCUGCAGAAGUCAAACGACAGCCAGCCUGAUGUUGAGGAGAAGGACUGCAGCAGAGAGGCUGCUUAGUUUCUUCAUUCUGCUGUCUGACUAACCCAACAACUAAAGACAUGCUGCUUUACCUCAUUUUACUUUUCUCUCAUAUCAGAGAGUGUAAAGGAGAAGACAAAGUGAUCCAGGAACAAGGAGAUGUCAUUGCUGCUGAAGGAGACACAGUUACACUUGGAUGUACAUUUGAGACCAGUUACCCUGGCCCUACACUGAUUUGGUACAAGCAAGAAGUAAACAGUUACCCAAAGUAUAUGCUGAAAUGUGUCUCAGAGUCAACAGUUAAGGCUGCAGAAUUCAAUGAUGACAGAUUUGAUGCUAAAAUCAACAAGACAGAAAAGUCAGUUCCUCUGAAGAUCCAGAAGCUUCAGCUGUCUGACUCUGCUGUGUACUACUGUGCUCUGCAGCCCACAGUGACAGGAAACACCAAAACUCUGUACAAAAACCUUUGGAGCAAAGACAACAGAAUACUCCACAACAUCCACUAGAGGGAGCCA